UACGUAGGUCCCGAGCGUUGUCCGGAUUUAUUGGGCGUAAAGCGAGCGCAGGUGGUUUAUUAAGUCUGGUGUAAAAGGCAGUGGCUCAACCAUUGUAUGCAUUGGAAACUGGUAGACUUGAGUGCAGGAGAGGAGAGUGGAAUUCCAUGUGUAGCGGUGAAAUGCGUAGAUAUAUGGAGGAACACCGGUGACGAAAGCGGCUCUCUGGCCUGUAACUGACACUGAGGCUCGAAAACGUGGGGAGCAAACAGG
This 252-nucleotide ribosomal RNA is filed under the name uncultured bacterium. Its description in RNAcentral is "partial 16S ribosomal RNA". It matches the Rfam family "Bacterial small subunit ribosomal RNA", at positions 524 to 776 of the family's 1533-position model. The record is from RNAcentral.